Molecule: ribosomal RNA, 119 nt
Organism: Schistosoma mansoni
Lineage: Eukaryota; Metazoa; Platyhelminthes; Trematoda; Strigeidida; Schistosomatidae
Source: Rfam
GCCGGCGACCAUAACACGUUGAAAGCACCGGUUCUCGUCCGAUCACCGCAGUUAAGCAACGUUGGGCCCGGUCAGUACUUGCAUGGGUGACCGGCUGGGAAUACCGGGUGUCGCCGGCU